GCAGCGGCAAUAUUCGAGGAUUGUUUUCAUUAUGCAUGUGAUUUCGUUACCAGUAGGUUUGAGCACUGUAAUAGGGAAGCAAAUAAAGUAGCUCACGAGCUUGCUAGGUUAGCUAGAUUUUCCUUGACCUCUAAUUGGUUUAAGGAGCCUUUAAAUGAAAUUGUAAUGAUCCUCACAAAUGAUAUACAACUUGUCACAAAUGAACAAAGUGGGGUUUUUUCAAAAAAAACAAUGAUGGGUGCAAGUUUCAUAUGUUUAUGGUUUUUUUGA
This 270-nucleotide ribosomal RNA is filed under the name Triticum aestivum (bread wheat). RNAcentral's name for it is "partial small subunit ribosomal RNA". Lineage: Eukaryota; Viridiplantae; Streptophyta; Magnoliopsida; Poales; Poaceae. The record is from RNAcentral.